This 1882-nucleotide unclassified non-coding RNA is filed under the name Hevea brasiliensis (rubber tree). Lineage: Eukaryota; Viridiplantae; Streptophyta; Magnoliopsida; Malpighiales; Euphorbiaceae. The record is from RNAcentral.
AUGUUAUUAUACCUCUCAGACAUCACUACUUCAAUGUUCUUAUUUCUCACACCACAGUCUUAAUUGUUAAUCAAUUAAAACCAUGCACUACCAUCUUAACCAUGCCUAACUACUGAGCUGAUAGCAUCACUAUAUCCAAAAAAGACGAUUUCCACAUCAAAGAAAUAUGUCCUACAUGUAGUCCCACUUACUAUAACCUCAACAAAUAAUUCUAAGCUCAUAGAGUAGGCUAUCCAUCACUUGACAAAGGCAUACUAUCUAGAUGAGUCUUUCCAAUGCAUUGAAAUAGAAGAUCAAAAAAAGUUCAAAAACAGAGAAUUCUCAAGGUGGAAAGGAAGGUAAUCUUAAAUGCUCCUAGAAAAAUAAAUAAGAUUGCGAAUAUCUAUAACCUCUAACUCUAAGCCACUUCAUUUCAAACAUCCAGCCACAUUUGCUAUUUCAUAUGUUUUAUGAUCAAAUGGUUAGAAUAACAACAAAAAGGUCAAUGACCAUUGGAACACACUUUCCCCAAUAUGCCAAAGGAAGAAAGAUGAAGUUAUCCAAGUACCAUUGAGGUUAACAAAGAGGUAGAUAACCAUUACUAAAAAGGUUCUAUUCUCACAUAAUAUAUGACAAAUAAUUUGCCAAGUACCACUUGAAUUUGAACUGCAAGUCCUAGUUAACAAGCUUAAUGGUUAUGUAUGCAAAAUUGUAAAUCUUAAUCUAUUUCUUUCUAAAAGAUUUUAUAAUUUAAGAUGCAUCAUUCAUGAACAUACCUGUAUCACUAAUGAUUAAUUUCUCAAGUUUGUAAAAUCUUACAAUUCUCAGUACUUGAGGAGAGUCUCUCCUCUUCCCUGGUUAAAGAAAGGAUUCCCAUUCUAACAACCUUGGUCUAUCCAUUCUUAUCCCUUAAGACUAAGGCGUGGCUACAUAGUCUGGGGUGUUUCUUUUGGUCUUGAAGGUAUUUCUUUAGUCUUGAAAGUUUCAGUCUUGAACACAUUUUUUUCCUUCCUGUGUAUAUAGCAUGGCCAUAUGGCCAUUCACUAAUAUCAUUUGUUCAAUGCCAAGUUCAAUACAUGUUAACUAUGCAUACCCAAAUAAUUUGGCCACUCUAAAUGGAAAAUGAACCCCGUAAAGGGCUAAAAGUUUUGCUUUUGCUUCAGUGCAAAGUGUAAACACAGAGACAAGUCCCACAUAUCCAUAUCCUUAAUCUUUAUCUUCUUUUCUUCAAAGGCAAAGAGUAGCCUUAUCUGUUUAUUAUUUUCUUCCGUUCUUUCCCAACAUAAGUGCUGGCUUCUUUCUAAUACUUGAUAUCAAGCAUCGGUAUGCAUUUCACAUGAUAAAGGUUGCAGCUAUUGUUUUCAAGUGGAACAAGAAGCUACACUGUUUUGAAAUGGGAGGCACAAAUGAAUAAUGUGGGAAGCACAAAUGAAUAAUGUGGGAAGCACAAAUGUGAAAAUAAUGUGUAGAUAAACUCUUGAAACCAGAAGAGCGCUUCCUACAUAAAUAAUUUCGUGAUGGAGAACAGAAGUUAUUUGUGGGAUUCAAACUGCUAACUUUUCCUAAAGAACAAUGGUUGCACUUCAAAACCAUUGUCCUUGGCGGCAGAAAUCCCCUAUUCCUAGGUGUCACUAUGAUAACUUUGAAAAAUACAAUCACUACACCCAUCUCAGCAAUUAACAAAAUUUUAAAACUGAAAUCACAGAGAAAAUCUUGCAAUGUUUAACUUCCCUGGCUAAUUAUAGUGAAACUAUACUAAAAACAAGCAACCAUAAAUCAGAAACAGCCCAAGAAAGUUUAAAGUAGAAAACUAUAUUGUACUUGAACCAAAUGAAAGUAAACAACAAAAUAGAAAAGAAAAUAAAUGGCGUGGAACAAACUAGGAACAAUAGGGAAAAGAUUC